This 465-nucleotide ribosomal RNA is filed under the name uncultured bacterium. Its description in RNAcentral is "partial 16S ribosomal RNA". It matches the Rfam family "Bacterial small subunit ribosomal RNA", at positions 28 to 507 of the family's 1533-position model. The record is from RNAcentral.
GACGAACGCUGGCGGCGUGCUUAACACAUGCAAGUCGAACGGAAAGGCCCUGCUUGCAGGGUACUCGAGUGGCGAACGGGUGAGUAACACGUGGGUGAUCUGCCCUGCACUUCGGGAUAAGCCUGGGAAACUGGGUCUAAUACCGGAUAGGAGCCAUUUUUAGUGUGAUGGUUGGAAAGUUUUUUCGGUGUAGGAUGAGCUCGCAGCCUAUCAGCUUGUUGGUGGGGUAAUGGCCUACCAAGGCGGCGACGGGUAGCCGGCCUGGGAGGGUGGACGGCCACAUUGGGACUGAGAUACGGCCCAGACUCCUACGGGAGGCAGCAGUGGGGAAUAUUGCACAAUGGGCGCAAGCCUGAUGCAGCGACGCCGCGUGGGGGAUGACGGCCUUCGGGUUGUAAACUCCUUUCGCUAGGGACGAAGCUUUUUGUGACGGUACCUAGAUAAGAAGCACCGGCUAACUACGUG